GUAGUCUCGCACAGAUGCAUAUCAAUAAGCGGAGGAAAAGAAACUAACAAGGAUUCCCCUAGUAACGGCGAGUGGAAGCGGGAAGAGCUCAAAUUUGAAAUCUUAAAGGGUUUCCCUUUACGAAUUGUAGUUUAAAGAAGUGUUUUCUGUUGAGGUUUUGGUAAAAGUUCUUUGGAAUAGGACAUCAUAGAGGGUGAGAAUCCCGUAUUUGACCUUUACUUUCAACUUUGUGAUACACUUUCAAAGAGUCGGAUUGUUUGGGAAUGCAGUCCAAAAUGGGUGGUAAAUUUCAUCUAAAGCUAAAUAUUGGCGAGAGACCGAUAGCGAACAAGUACCGUGAGGGAAAGAUGAAAAGAACUUUGAAAAGAGAGUUAAACAGUACGUGAAAUUGUCAAAAGGGAAGCGUUUGACACCAGUGUUGUUUUUCUGAAAAUCAAUUAAAGAACUGUUUAUGCUAAGCUGUUUAGACUUUAUCAGCUAUACUGUUUAGUUUUGAGCUUUUCUUUAAUGCACUUUUCAGUUAACAAGUCAACAUCAAUUUCUUUUGCUGUAAAAAAGCUUGAGGAAGGUGGCUUGAGAUUCGUCUUAAGUGUUUAUAGCCUCUUGCCUAUGCAGUCGGAGAGAUUGAGGUCUGCAGCGUAGAUCCUUCGGGGCUAAAUGCAUUUGUGCUAAGUUAUAGCAUUUUAUAGACAACUUGUUGACUAUGAUUUGUCUUGUAGCUUACUCGCUUAUGUUAUUUUACCUACGCUUAGGAUGUUGACGCGCGUGUGUGCGU
Molecule: ribosomal RNA, 775 nt
Filed under: uncultured Neocallimastigales
Lineage: Eukaryota; Fungi; Neocallimastigomycota; Neocallimastigomycetes; Neocallimastigales
Description: partial large subunit ribosomal RNA
Rfam family: Eukaryotic large subunit ribosomal RNA
Source: RNAcentral